Molecule: long non-coding RNA, 217 nt
Organism: Bufo bufo (common toad)
Lineage: Eukaryota; Metazoa; Chordata; Amphibia; Anura; Bufonidae
Exons: 3
Source: RefSeq, a predicted model, not a curated record
CCACAGGCAUCAGUAAGGUGCAGAAUGAGCGAAUGUUCCCACAUGGCAAAAAUGCCGCGGAUGUGCCGUUGAUUUUCAUGCAGCAAUCAGCAAUGUUGUACAGUUGAACAUUUUACAGUUUUUAAAUAAAAUAAAAAAUAUUCAUUCACGCCCUACAGAGUCUCCACACUGGAACCCGCAUGCAACUUUUCAAUCCGCAGGAUGUCAAUUUAUAGUG